GUGGGGAGACCGAGCUGAGUCAGAGCCUCCUUUUCUCCAAGCCCUUUGAGGCAAAUAUGAAAAAUAUUUGGCUCAUUCCAUAUGCAAACCUCUAACCCAGGGCACCUUCACUAUUUAUUCCUUUUCCCUCUAGGAUCUUUGUCCCCGUGUAUUUGGGAGUGGGAACAGAGGACCGUGGCUAGGUGCAUCAUAUGCCGCCAGAAAUGAACAUGCAGGACUCAGAGAGUCAACAUUUCUCGAAAAAAUCCUUCCCCCUCUCCAUGUGAAGACAAUAAAAAGCAAUUAGCACAUCAAUAGAGGAUAUUAUUUACAUAGUCAAAAAUUUUGCAAAGUAAUCAUAAAAAGUUAGGGACCCGCUUUACAUACUUAGGUGAUACUAGUAUAAAGACUUGUAUGAGGCUGGGAAAACACCAUAUUCAGGUCAGAGGUCCCCUCACCAUGUGACAGGGCAGGCAUGAUUGAUGAGGGGCACACAGGAUGUAUUGGGGAUGCUUGUUUCUUCAUCGGCUGCUGGGGACAUUUAUUAUUCUCUGUGUCUGUGUCUGUGUGUGUGUGCAUGCUGGGGUUGAAUGCAAGGAUGCUCUACCACUGAGUCACAUCCCUAGUUCUUUUUAUUUUAUUUUAUUUUGAGACAGGGUCUUACUAAGUUACUGAGGGUCUCCCUAAGUUGCUGAGGCUGGCCUUGAACUUUACGAUCCUCCCACCUCAGCCUCCUGAGUUGCAGGGAUGACAGGUGCAGACCACCACACCCAGGGGUUAAAACCACCACAAUCAGAGAGGUAUAUUCACGUGGCCAAGUUCAUGUGUCUGAUCAGUGCUGGAGGUUGAGCUGAGCACCGUGGUGCAUGCCGGUAAUCCCAACGACUCAGGAGGCUGAAGCAGGAGGAUUGCAAAUUCAAGGCCAGCCUCAGCAAUUUAUCGAGGCACUAAGCAAGUCAGGGAGACCCUGUCUCUAAAUCAAAUACAAAAUAGGACUGGAGGUGUGUCUCAGUGGUUAGGUGCCCUGGGUUUAAUUCUUAACCUGGUUGACUUCAGACUACAAGCCUGGUACAAAAAAAAAAAAAAAAAAAAAAAAAAAAAAAGAAAAAAAAAAGAAAAGAAAAGAAAAAGAAAAGAAAGAAAGGAAGAAAAAAGAAAGAAAGGAAAAAAAAAAGGUUCGAUGGCCUAAUCUCUGAAGUUCCUCCUGGUUCUGCCAAUUGGCCACUCUCAGAUUGGCCACGCAGCACACCCAGGCUAUUCAUGAGGAACACAGCUCCAUGCUGUGCGGGUCGCACGUGCUCGCUGUAUGAUUUUAGAUAAUAGUUGCACAGAAUUAAUAGAAGCCAGAAGAAUUGUUUAGAAGGCUAUUUUUUAACUGCACGGAUUGGGCCAUAUAUUCAUGCACAUAAUUACCCUUUUUCUCCUCCUUUGCAAUCUUGGAGGGAUGUUAGAAAUUGAGCAGGGAUUUCUUUCUCCUCCCCUUGGCACCAGGAGCCGGCUGAUGUGGCUUUAUGUUAAUUUGAAGAAACUCUAACUGGCAUCACUAAAGAGAAAGACAAGAAUCGGCUUGUGAAAAGCGCGUUUUCAUCGCUUACCUGAAUUGGAGCUUCAGACGUGCUCCUGGCAAUUUCCGCAGUCCCCUGGGGACUGCUUGUUCUGUGCCUGCUGUAAGGUUGACUAGGGAAGGACCCACCCUGAGCAUGGCUCUUGGUAAAACAUCUCAAACACCCAU
This 1711-nucleotide long non-coding RNA is filed under the name Marmota monax (woodchuck). Lineage: Eukaryota; Metazoa; Chordata; Mammalia; Rodentia; Sciuridae. The record is from RNAcentral.